This 812-nucleotide long non-coding RNA is filed under the name Monodelphis domestica (gray short-tailed opossum). RNAcentral's name for it is "lncRNA (ENSMODG00000042828.1)". Lineage: Eukaryota; Metazoa; Chordata; Mammalia; Didelphimorphia; Didelphidae. The record is from RNAcentral.
ACUCAGGGAAGAAACAUGCAAGAGGCCAGGUCUGGGUCAGCCUCCCACACCAGUGUCCUGGGAGCUUAGUCCAGUUCCAAAGUCCCUGGCUGGUCUGCCUAGUGCCAGAGAAGGGGCAGAGACGCCAGGCUCUCUCAGCACAAGCCGGUCUGUGCCUUCCUACAAACACCAACUACACACCUUUACCGGCUGCUCCCUUGCUUUCACAGAUACCUUGCCACUGAGCCAGCCCUCCUGGCUCCCAGCAGCCAAUCGAAAAUAUUAUGAAACCAAUAACCAACAAAGUGGAACAGCAUUCAAAAAUAUGAUGAAACUUGAGGCCUAGAGACAUUAUGGGAAUUGUCCAGGGUCACACAGUUGGUUUUCAUCAUGGAUGUCCUCCUAGCAUGUGGAAGAUGAUCCUAAUAAGUUUUUGUACAUGUGGGAAAUUUACUUCAAAAGGAAAAUGAUCCUGCAGAGGGAUGGAGUUGAAGGAGUGACUAGAGAAAAAGUCACAUCAGAAAGGAGGAGUCAUAUGACCUGAUUGAGAAAAAGUGACUCUAUCCACACAAAAGUGGGUAUAGAAGAAAGGAGGAACUAACCCUCUUUACCAACACAGCACAACACUCCUCCCCUUACCAUGGUAAAACAACAAUUACUCAAGAUGAAACAACAAAGACAGAUUGUAAUCUACAUGAGCGGAGGGACUAUCCAUACUUAUGAAAUAAUAUUUCCCAACUAUAUAGGUUAGAAUAUGAAUUUUGUUAUUGCAGGGCAACAGUUUUUCAUUACUCAUAUUUUUCUUAAACUAUUAAAAUGAAUCAUCAUUCCUU